Rhinichthys klamathensis goyatoka is the source of this 1061-nucleotide RNA transcript. It is a transcript of the gene named RAB28, member RAS oncogene family, with no coding region annotated. Lineage: Eukaryota; Metazoa; Chordata; Actinopteri; Cypriniformes; Leuciscidae. The record is from RefSeq and is a predicted model, not a curated record. The transcript has 9 exons.
AUCGUGUGUGUUGGUUCGCGCUGAGGGAAGAUGGCGGCGGAUUCACCGUGAUCAGAUUAACCGCUGCGCUUAAAUCUGUGUCUGAUUAUUAUCGUGUUAUUAUCGUGUGUGUGUGUUUGUGUUGAAGAAGUGUUGAGUGAUGUCGGACUCUGAGGAGGAGAUUCAGGAGCGGCAGCUGAAGAUUGUGCUUCUGGGAGACGGAGCGUCCGGAAAGACAUCGCUCGCCAUCCGCUUUGCACAAGAGGCUUUUGGGAAACAGUAUAAACAGACAAUAGGGCUGGACUUCUUCCUCAAGAGAAUCACCCUACCAGGGAACCUGAGUGUAGCGCUGCAGGUUUGGGACAUCGGCGGACAGACCAUCGGAGGAAAGAUGCUGGACAAGUACAUCUACGGCGCGCAGGGUGUGCUGCUGGUGUAUGACAUCACUAAUUCUCAGAGUUUUGAGAAUCUUGAAGAUUGGCUGAACAUGGUGAGAAAAGCCAACGAGGAGUCAGACACACAACCUGCGAUAUCACUGAUCGGGAACAAGAUUGAUCUGGAACACAUGCGGACAGUAAAGAUGGAGAAACAUCAGCGAUUCUGUCAGGAAAACGGCCUCAUCAGUCAGUUUGUGUCUGCGAAGACGGGAGACUCUGUGUGUGUGUGUUUCCAGAGGCUGGCCGCUGAGAUUGUAGGAAUAAAGCUGAAUAAAGCCGAGAUCGAGCAGUCGCAGCGUAUUGUCAAAGCGGAGUUGGUGGACUAUCCUCAGGAUGAGGGACCAAUUAAACAAGAGAACAAUCAGAGCAAAAUCUGCACUGUCCAAUAACACACGUGGUGAAAGCAGACAUCGUGAACUACAGUCAGGAGUCGGUGGCUCGAGCCGUCAAUCCUCCUCGCAGCUCCAUGUGUGUCAUACAGUGAUCUUCAUCAUCAUCAUCAUCGUCUCGUUUACGUGAGCCUCAGUAAAGAGUCUCGAACUCAGAGUCAGUCGUUCGGACGGCGAUAAACUCAAAAUCUACACUUUAUAUUUUUCUUCCUCCUGCAUUUGCCAAUUAGAUAUUGUGUGUUACAUAAAUUAAAAA